This 286-nucleotide ribosomal RNA is filed under the name Gephyrocapsa oceanica. RNAcentral's name for it is "partial Eukaryotic large subunit ribosomal RNA". It matches the Rfam family "Eukaryotic large subunit ribosomal RNA", at positions 616 to 909 of the family's 3401-position model. The record is from RNAcentral. Lineage: Eukaryota; Haptophyta; Isochrysidales; Noelaerhabdaceae.
UUGACUGAUGCAGACGAAAUGGUUUUCUUUACCCCGUCUUGAAACACGGACCAAGGAGUCUAACAUAUGUGCGAGUACAGGGGUGUCAAACCCCGGUGCGUAAUGAAAGUGACAGUGGUUGGAUAUUUUGCACAAUCCGCCGGCCUCAAUCCUUCGGGAGAACGGUCUGAGUGUGAGCAUACAUGUUGGGACCCGAAAGAUGGUGAACUAUGCCUGAAUAGGGUGAAGCCAGAGGAAACUCUGGUGGAGGCCCGUAGCGAUACUGACGUGCAAAUCGUUCGUCGAA